CCCGCAGCACAAGUGGUGGUCAUUAUUAUUGGGCCUAAAGCGUCCGUAGCUGGCCUGUUAGAUGCCUGGGUAAAUCGAUGCGCUCAACGUAUCGAACUCCGGGUAGACCGGCAGGCUCGAGACCGGGAGAGGUGUAGGCUACUCGCGGGGUAGGGGUAAAAUCCUGUAAUCCUGCGGGGAGGACCAGUGGCGAAGGCGCUACACUAGAACGGCUCUGACAGUGAGGGACGAAGCCCUGGGGCGCAAACCGGAUUAGAUACCCGGGUAGUCCAGGGUGUAAACGCUGCAGACUUGGUGUCGGUGAUCCUACGAGGGUUGCCGGUGCCGUAGAGAAGUUGUUUAGUCUGCCGCCUGGGGAGUACGGUCGCAAGACUG
This 375-nucleotide ribosomal RNA is filed under the name uncultured organism. Its description in RNAcentral is "bacterial SSU rRNA". It matches the Rfam family "Archaeal small subunit ribosomal RNA", at positions 476 to 851 of the family's 1478-position model. The record is from RNAcentral.